RNAcentral lists this ribosomal RNA (444 nucleotides) under uncultured bacterium. RNAcentral describes it as "bacterial SSU rRNA". It matches the Rfam family "Bacterial small subunit ribosomal RNA", at positions 355 to 796 of the family's 1533-position model. The record is from RNAcentral.
UAAGGAAUAUUGGUCAAUGGACGCAAGUCUGAACCAGCCAUGCCGCGUGCAGGAUGACAGCCCUAUGGGUUGUAAACUGCUUUUGUACGGGAAAAACCCCUCGAUCGUGAUCGAGGCUGAUGGUACCGUAAGAAUAAGGAUCGGCUAACUCCGUGCCAGCAGCCGCGGUAAUACGGAGGAUCCAAGCGUUAUCCGGAUUUAUUGGGUUUAAAGGGUGCGUAGGCGGAUUAUUAAGUCAGUGGUGAAAGCCUGCAGCUUAACUGCAGAACUGCCAUUGAUACUGAUGAUCUUGAGUACAGUUGAGGUGGGCGGAAUGUGUCAUGUAGCGGUGAAAUGCAUAGAUAUGACACAGAACACCUAUUGCGAAGGCAGCUCGCUAAACUGUAACUGACGCUGAGGCACGAAAGCGUGGGGAUCAAACAGGAUUAGAUACCCGCGUAGUCC